GACGAACGCUGGCGGCGUGCUUAACACAUGCGAGUCGAACGGAAAGGCCCCUUUGGGGGUACUCGAGUGGCGAACGGGUGAGUAACACGUGAGUAACCUGCCCUUGACUUCGGGAUAACUUCAGGAAACUGGGGCUAAUACCGGAUAGGAAUCCUUGCUGCAUGGUGGGGGUUGGGAAGCUUCGGCGGUUUUGGAUGGACUCGCGGCUUAUCAGCUUGUUGGUGGGGUAGUGGCUUACCAAGGCUUUGACGGGUAGCCGGCCUGAGAGGGCGACCGGCCACAUUGGGACUGAGAUACGGCCCAGACUCCUACGGGAGGCAGCAGUGGGGAAUAUUGCACAAUGGGCGGAAGCCUGAUGCAGCAACGCCGCGUGCGGGAUGACGGCCUUCGGGUUGUAAACCGCUUUCAGCAGGGGCGAAGCUUGUGGUGACGGUACCUGCAGAAGAAGCACCGGCUAACUACGUG
RNAcentral lists this ribosomal RNA (465 nucleotides) under uncultured bacterium. RNAcentral describes it as "partial 16S ribosomal RNA". It matches the Rfam family "Bacterial small subunit ribosomal RNA", at positions 28 to 507 of the family's 1533-position model. The record is from RNAcentral.